RNAcentral lists this ribosomal RNA (400 nucleotides) under phytoplankton environmental sample. RNAcentral's name for it is "partial small subunit ribosomal RNA". It matches the Rfam family "Eukaryotic small subunit ribosomal RNA", at positions 587 to 990 of the family's 1831-position model. The record is from RNAcentral.
AGCUCCAAUAGCGUAUAUUAAAGUUGUUGCAGUUAAAAAGCUCGUAGUUGGAUUUGUGGUUGUCGCAGGACGUUCUUCACUUUGUGUUGAAUUUGUUCCGGCGUCGCCAUCCUUGGGUGGAUCCUGUGCGGCAUUAGGUUGUCGUGCAGGGGAUGCCCAUCGUUUACUGUGAAAAAAUUAGAGUGUUCAAAGCAGGCUUAUGCCGUUGAAUAUAUUAGCAUGGAAUAAUAAGAUAGGACCUUGGUACUAUUUUGUUGGUUUGCGCACCAAGGUAAUGAUUAAUAGGGACAGUUGGGGGUAUUCGUAUUCCAUUGUCAGAGGUGAAAUUCUUGGAUUUCUGGAAGACGAACUACUGCGAAAGCAUUUACCAAGGAUGUUUUCAUUAAUCAAGAACGAAAGU